RNAcentral lists this long non-coding RNA (389 nucleotides) under Amphibalanus amphitrite. RNAcentral describes it as "uncharacterized LOC122366830". Lineage: Eukaryota; Metazoa; Arthropoda; Thecostraca; Balanomorpha; Balanidae. The record is from RNAcentral.
CGCCGUUACGGGUUGUUUAGGUUUUGUUAUGCAAGAGCCUGAGUGAGGGCUGCUUUGUCUAAACGACUGCAUUUGCUAUUUUCAGGUGACCGCCCCAGACGAUUUGUAAUGAUAUGUGACGCAUGUUGAACGGCAUCAGAGCUGUCCUGAUCGGGGCGCAGUGAAGUACGGUUUGCUGAACAGUGAUUGCCACUUGGACCGAUACUGAAGCCGAAAUAUUAUUGCCGGCUAUACUGACGGUGCAGUUGGCUGUAUCACCAUACUGAGUCACUGACAUUUGUACUAAAGUCGCCUAUCGUCCCGGACGAAUUUUCUACGGUCAUCACGGUCCACACUGAUCGCUGCAAGGUGUCACUACUGAAUGAUCCCAAUACAUACUGACCGACUAA